GGACAAGCCCUGGAAACGGGGUCUAAUACCGGAUACCAGUUUCGCGGGCAUCUGUGAUGGUGGAAAGCUCCGGCGGUGAAGGAUGAGCCCGCGGCCUAUCAGCUUGUUGGUGAGGUAAUGGCUCACCAAGGCGACGACGGGUAGCCGGCCUGAGAGGGCGACCGGCCACACUGGGACUGAGACACGGCCCAGACUCCUACGGGAGGCAGCAGUGGGGAAUAUUGCACAAUGGGCGAAAGCCUGAUGCAGCGACGCCGCGUGAGGGAUGACGGCCUUCGGGUUGUAAACCUCUUUCAGCAGGGAAGAAGCGAAAGUGACGGUACCUGCAGAAGAAGCGCCGGCUAACUACGUGCCAGCAGCCGCGGUAAUACGUAGGGCGCAAGCGUUGUCCGGAAUUAUUGGGCGUAAAGAGCUCGUAGGCGGCUUGUCACGUCGGGUGUGAAAGCCCGGGGCUUAACCCCGGGUCUGCAUUCGAUACGGGCUAGCUAGAGUGUGGUAGGGGAGAUCG
This 508-nucleotide ribosomal RNA is filed under the name Streptomyces corchorusii. RNAcentral describes it as "bacterial SSU rRNA". It matches the Rfam family "Bacterial small subunit ribosomal RNA", at positions 141 to 663 of the family's 1533-position model. Lineage: Bacteria; Bacillati; Actinomycetota; Actinomycetes; Kitasatosporales; Streptomycetaceae. The record is from RNAcentral.